This 253-nucleotide ribosomal RNA is filed under the name uncultured bacterium. RNAcentral describes it as "partial 16S ribosomal RNA". It matches the Rfam family "Archaeal small subunit ribosomal RNA", at positions 474 to 727 of the family's 1478-position model. The record is from RNAcentral.
UACCAGCACCCCGAGUGGUCGGGACGUUUAUUGGGCCUAAAGCAUCCGUAGCCGGCCUUACAAGUCCUCCGUUAAAUCCAGCUGCUUAACAGAUGGGCUGCGGAGGAUACUAUAAGACUAGGAGGCAGGAGAGGCAAGCGGUACUCAGCGGGUAGGGGUAAAAUCCGUUGAUCCAUUGAAGACCACCAGUGGCGAAGGCGGCUUGCCAGAAUGCGCUCGACGGUGAGGGAUGAAAGCUGGGGGAGCAAACCGG